Molecule: non-coding RNA, 175 nt
Organism: Paramuricea clavata
Lineage: Eukaryota; Metazoa; Cnidaria; Anthozoa; Malacalcyonacea; Plexauridae
Source: the annotation of a GenBank genome assembly
UAAUAAAGGAAUACUGAAUGGUUUUUCGCGCAUGAUUGCGUGAUCCAUGGACGAGGGAUGUCGCGAGACUUUCGGAAAGCGUAAAAUACUCGAGCCGCAGGCGAAAGUCGAGCAACAUCCCAAGUGCAUGGAUCACGCUAUCCUGCUUGGAAAACCAUUUGGUAAUUGUUUUAUA